Molecule: ribosomal RNA, 583 nt
Filed under: uncultured bacterium
Lineage: Bacteria
Description: partial 16S ribosomal RNA
Rfam family: Bacterial small subunit ribosomal RNA
Source: RNAcentral
UAAGGAAUAUUGGUCAAUGGGCGGAAGCCUGAACCAGCCAUGCCGCGUGCAGGAUGACUGCCCUAUGGGUUGUAAACUGCUUUUGUCCAGGAAUAAACCUAGAUACGUGUAUCUAGCUGAAUGUACUGGAAGAAUAAGGAUCGGCUAACUCCGUGCCAGCAGCCGCGGUAAUACGGAGGAUCCGAGCGUUAUCCGGAUUUAUUGGGUUUAAAGGGUGCGUAGGCGGCCUAUUAAGUCAGGGGUGAAAUACGGUGGCUCAAACCAUCGCAGUGCCUUUGAUACUGAUGGGCUUGAAUCCAUUUGAAGUGGGCGGAAUAAGACAAGUAGCGGUGAAAUGCAUAGAUAUGUCUUAGAACUCCGAUUGCGAAGGCAGCUCACUAAGCUGGUAUUGACGCUGAUGCACGAAAAGCGUGGGGAUCGAACAGGAUUAGAUACCCUGGUAGUCCACGCCCUAAAACGAUGAUAAACUCGAUGUUGGCGAUAGACAGCCAGCGUCCAAGCGAAAAGCGUUAAGUUAUCCACCUGGGGAGUACGCCCGCAAGGGUGAAAACUCAAAAUGAAAUUGACGGGGUCAUAGCUGUUU